AUAAAAACAUUUAUGUGACUUGUGUGGGUGUGAAACUGCAGCCACACUGGUCUGCACUCAGUCAUUCUGACUCAACUCUUGUUUCAGAUGUAAAACUCAACCUGUCUGCCAGCUGGCUGCAAAUCGCCCCUGUGAGUGUUAACCCUGGUUUGUGUUUUUCAGCCAGACAGCAGUGGAACUUAACAUGCAGCCGGACGCCCACGCAUGAGCUCAUAAGUUAAUAUAAAACUAACCUGUCUGAGGUUUGUCAACGCUUUGAUUCAUCAACCAUCAACCUGAGCAAACAUACAACUAUCAGCAGUGUGAGAUGACCAUGACAGGUCCUCAGUGAUGUUGAUUCCCAAGAACUAAAACUGUUUGCCAGCUCCACCUCAGCUGCACUGAUGUAGUCUUCCAACAGCAGGAUGCAGCAGGAGGAACCGGGGGAUCGAUCCAUUGACCUUCAAUUAGUGGAUCUGCUCUACCAACUGAGCAACAGCCACCCAAUAUGAAGACUCAACGUUAUAAUAGUAUAAGUGCACAGCAUCGGUAUGGAGUUAGAAUCAUGCCAAAACCUCACACA
This is a long non-coding RNA of Morone saxatilis (striped sea-bass), 562 nucleotides long. RefSeq lists it as uncharacterized. The record is from RefSeq and is a predicted model, not a curated record. The transcript has 3 exons. NCBI's taxonomy places the organism in Eukaryota, Metazoa, Chordata, Actinopteri, Moronidae.